AAUCCGUGUUGUGGAAACUUCCACAAUAGGUCAUUGAAUCGCUCCCAUGUCUCAAACAAGGACUCGAGCUCCAUCUGAACAAACGACGAUAUCUCAUUGCGAAGCUU
Molecule: small nucleolar RNA, 107 nt
Organism: Dioscorea cayenensis subsp. rotundata (Guinea yam)
Lineage: Eukaryota; Viridiplantae; Streptophyta; Magnoliopsida; Dioscoreales; Dioscoreaceae
Source: RefSeq, a predicted model, not a curated record